Molecule: ribosomal RNA, 253 nt
Filed under: uncultured bacterium
Lineage: Bacteria
Description: partial 16S ribosomal RNA
Rfam family: Bacterial small subunit ribosomal RNA
Source: RNAcentral
UACGUAGGGCGCGAGCGUUGUCCGGAUUUAUUGGGCGUAAAGAGCUCGUAGGCGGCUUGUUGCGUCAGCUGUGAAAACCCGCAGCUCAACUGUGGGCUUGCAGCUGAUACGGGCAGGCUUGAGUUCGGUAGGGGAGACUGGAAUUCCUGGUGUAGCGGUGAAAUGCGCAGAUAUCUGGAGGAACACCGGAGGCGAAGGCGGAUCACUGGACUGCCACUGACGCUGAGGCGCGAAAGCUAGGGGAGCAAACAGG